AACGAACGCUGGCGGCAUGCCUAACACAUGCAAGUCGAACGAAUGGUUUCGGCCAUUAGUGGCGCACGGGUGAGUAACGCGUGGGAAUCUGCCCAGCAGUGGGGGAUAACCUCUGGAAACGGAGGCUAAUACCGCAUACGCCCCUCGGGGGAAAGGCUUGCUGCUGCUGGAGGAGCCCGCGUCGGAUUAGGUAGUUGGUGGGGUAACGGCCUACCAAGCCUGUGAUCCGUAGCUGGUCUGAGAGGAUGAUCAGCCACACUGGGACUGAGACACGGCCCAGACUCCUACGGGAGGCAGCAGUGGGGAAUAUUGGACAAUGGGCGCAAGCCUGAUCCAGCAAUGCCGCGUGAGUGAUGAAGGCCU
RNAcentral lists this ribosomal RNA (363 nucleotides) under uncultured bacterium. Its description in RNAcentral is "bacterial SSU rRNA". It matches the Rfam family "Bacterial small subunit ribosomal RNA", at positions 29 to 417 of the family's 1533-position model. The record is from RNAcentral.